Molecule: ribosomal RNA, 1246 nt
Filed under: Candidatus Phytoplasma solani
Lineage: Bacteria; Bacillati; Mycoplasmatota; Mollicutes; Acholeplasmatales; Acholeplasmataceae
Description: bacterial SSU rRNA
Rfam family: Bacterial small subunit ribosomal RNA
Source: RNAcentral
GAAACGACUGCUAAGACUGGAUAGGAGAUAAGAAGGCAUCUUUUUAUUUUUAAAAGACCUAGCAAUAGGUAUGCUUAGGGAAGAGCUUGCGUCACAUUAGUUAGUUGGUGGGGUAAUGGCCUACCAAGACGAUGAUGUGUAGCCGGGCUGAGAGGUCGAACGGCCACAUUGGGACUGAGACACGGCCCAAACUCCUACGGGAGGCAGCAGUAAGGAAUUUUCGGCAAUGGAGGAAACUCUGACCGAGCAAUGCCGCGUGAACGAUGAAGUAUUUCGGUACGUAAAGUUCUUUUAUUAGGGAAGAAAAGAUGGUGGAAAAACCAUUAUGACGGUACCUAAUGAAUAAGCCCCGGCUAACUAUGUGCCAGCAGCCGCGGUAAUACAUAGGGGGCAAGCGUUAUCCGGAAUUAUUGGGCGUAAAGGGUGCGUAGGCGGUUAAAUAAGUUUAUGGUCUAAGUGCAACGCUCAACGUUGUGAUGCUAUAAAAACUGUUUAGCUAGAGUUGGAUAGAGGCAAGUGGAAUUCCGUGUGUAGUGGUAAAAUGCGUAAAUAUACGGAGGAACACCAGAAGCGAAGGCGGCUUGCUGGGUCUUAACUGACGCUGAGGCACGAAAGCGUGGGGAGCAAACAGGAUUAGAUACCCUGGUAGUCCACGCCCUAAACGAUGAGUACUAAACGUUGGAUAAAACCAGUGUUGAAGUUAACACAUUAAGUACUCCGCCUGAGUAGUACGUACGCAAGUAUGAAACUUAAAGGAAUUGACGGGACUCCGCACAAGCGGUGGAUCAUGUUGUUUAAUUCGAAGGUACCCGAAAAACCUCACCAGGUCUUGACAUGCUUUUGCAAAGCUGUAGAAAUACAGUGGAGGUUAUCAGAAGCACAGGUGGUGCAUGGUUGUCGUCAGCUCGUGUCGUGAGAUGUUGGGUUAAGUCCCGCAACGAGCGCAACCCUUGUUGUUAAUUGCCAUCAUUAAGUUGGGGACUUUAGCAAGACUGCCAAUGAUAAAUUGGAGGAAGGUGGGGACGACGUCAAAUCAUCAUGCCCCUUAUGACCUGGGCUACAAACGUGAUACAAUGGCUGUUACAAAGGGUAGCUAAAGCGUAAGCUUCUGGCGAAUCUCAAAAAAGCAGUCUCAGUUCGGAUUGAAGUCUGCAACUCGACUUCAUGAAGUUGGAAUCGGUAGUAAUCGCGAAUCAGCAUGUCGCGGUGAAUACGUUCUCGGGGUUUGUACACACCGCCCGUCAAA